RNAcentral lists this ribosomal RNA (1218 nucleotides) under Desulfotomaculum sp. MPNeg1. RNAcentral describes it as "bacterial SSU rRNA". It matches the Rfam family "Bacterial small subunit ribosomal RNA", at positions 1 to 1222 of the family's 1533-position model. Lineage: Bacteria; Bacillati; Bacillota; Clostridia; Eubacteriales; Desulfotomaculaceae. The record is from RNAcentral.
GAUUGAGAGUUUGAUCCUGGCUCAGGACGAACGCUGGCGGCGUGCCUAACACAUGCAAGUCGAACGGAGUAUCAAAAGGAAGCUUGCGAAUUUUAUACUUAGUGGCGGACGGGUGAGUAACGCGUGGAUAACCUGCCUGAUAGCCUGGGAUAACAGCUGGAAACGGCUGCUAAUACCGGAUACGCUUGCGGAGUCGCAUGGCUCUGCAAGGAAAGAUUUAUUACUAUCAGAUGGAUCCGCGUCCCAUUAGCUAGUUGGUGGUGUAGAGGACCCCCAAGGCGACGAUGGGUAGCCGGCCUGAGAGGGCGAACGGCCACACUGGGACUGAGACACGGCCCAGACUCCUACGGGAGGCAGCAGUGGGGAAUCUUCCGCAAUGGGCGAAAGCCUGACGGAGCAACGCCGCGUGAGGGAAGAAGGCCUUCGGGUUGUAAACCUCUGUUUUCAGGGAAGAAAGAAAUGACGGUACCUGAAGAGUAAGCUCCGGCUAACUACGUGCCAGCAGCCGCGGUAAUACGUAGGGAGCAAGCGUUGUCCGGAUUUACUGGGCGUAAAGGGCGCGUAGGUGGUCCAUUAAGUUAUAGGUGAAAGUUCGGGGCUCAACCCCGUGAUUGCCUGUGAUACUGGUGGACUUGAGUGCAGGAGAGGGGAGCAGAAUUCCCAGUGUAGCGGUGAAAUGCGUAGAUAUUGGGAGGAAUACCAGUGGCGAAGGCGGCUCUCUGGACUGUAACUGACACUGAGGCGCGAAAGCGUGGGUAGCGAACAGGAUUAGAUACCCUGGUAGUCCACGCCGUAAACGAUGAGUGCUAGGUGUUGCGGGUAUCGACCCCUGCAGUGCCGCAGUAAACACAAUAAGCACUCCGCCUGGGGAGUACGGUCGCAAGACUGAAACUCAAAGGAAUUGACGGGGGCCCGCACAAGCGGUGGAGUAUGUGGUUUAAUUCGACGCAACGCGAAGAACCUUACCAGGGCUUGACAUUGUAUGAAAAGCGUAGAGAUACGCUCCUUCAACUUCGGUUGAACAUAUAGACAGGUGGUGCAUGGUUGUCGUCAGCUCGUGUCGUGAGAUGUUGGGUUAAGUCCCGCAACGAGCGCAACCCCUAACAUUAGUUGCCAGCACGUAAAGGUGGGAACUCUAAUGUGACUGCCGUUGACAAAACGGAGGAAGGUGGGGAUGACGUCAAAUCAUCAUGCCCCUUAUGUCCUGGGCUACACACG